This 4055-nucleotide long non-coding RNA is filed under the name Ficedula albicollis (Collared flycatcher). Its description in RNAcentral is "lncRNA (ENSFALG00000023632.1)". The record is from RNAcentral. Lineage: Eukaryota; Metazoa; Chordata; Aves; Passeriformes; Muscicapidae.
AUGUUGAAAACAAUAAGGAAACAAGUUUCAACUGCAUUCACUGAAUGGCCUGAGAAACAUUUUGGACUUCUUACUAUCAAUAAAAAGGGAGGCAGCAAUCAUCUGCCACUGGUUGUGACAUUCAUGCGACUUAUCAAGCAGCGCAAAGCAGCAGAUGAUGGGAUGUCUGGAGAGUACCCAAGCCCAGCUGCUGAGCACUUAGUACUACAGGUAUUUCACUCCAUCACGUGGGUAGGCCAGGGCCAAAACUCAGUACCUUGCAGAAGUGCACCUUGAGAGAAAAGAGGGGAUACACUGACAUCACUGGGAAUAUGUUGGAAGGUUUGCUUAAUGCUUCCCUGUUCUCCCAGCUAUGGCAGUCAGAAUGUAAUAAGGAUAAUCCUCACUUCUGCCCUGAACAGCAGGAGACCAGGUCCCUAGGAGAGAUCUACUUUGGUCCUGGUCACAUUUUGUAUUUUAGGGACAAUGAAGGAUUGCAAAUUGUGGCUGAAUGCUCAGCAUUUACUUAAACAAUUGAGUUUUUAAACUACAUAGUAUUCACCUGCUUUCUUUUUUGGAAAUUAAGGUAUUUUACUACUUUAAAUCUUAAGAUCUGUAAUUUUAAAGUUCUGAAACUAAACAUGUAUUGUAGAAGUUCAAGGCUAACAACUAAGGAAAUAAUUAUAGAGGAAAUUUAAACCAUGUCCUCACACUGAAAAAAAAUUUAAAUUGAAUCUACUUUAUACAAAUCUAUUAUUCGUGUACACACAAAUAUACUAAAUCAAUUCCCUAGAUGCCAACAUUAAAAAAAAAAAAAAGGAAGAGCUUCAAGUGCUCUGGCUUCAGUACUUUAUUUAUCUUUUAAAUAACAACCAAAUAAAAAUAUAUAAAGGUCCUCAAGAAAUUUUUCUAAUUGCUUUUCCUAGCAAGGCCAUGCUUGCCAAAGUUCCACCUUUUACAUUAAUGCUAUAACACUAAUUGAUGUAGACAGGGACAACAUUCCAUUACAAGUAUUUGAACUAACAAGGUCUAAUUAUUCAAGCAUGAAGAGCUAAGUAAGGAUUUGCUAUAUAUUUAGGUAAUGCCUGCAUUUCAUUUAACCCCAAAUUAGAAAAGACAAAAUCAAAGUUGUAGGACAAAAAAUUGAUCCAAGUUAAAAUAUUUUCUUAAAUGUAGGGGGUUUUUUCCCUAUUGAGCUGUAUUUCAUGAUGGCAUACUGCCUGAAGCCAACCUGUUGACUGAAAGAUAUUAUCUUCUCCCCCCCCCCCCCCCAAAAAAAAAAAAAAAAAAAGGGGGGGGGGGGGGGGGCACUGAAAACAAAAGAACAAAACUGAUUUUGACAGCAUUAUGUACUCAGUCAAGUUUCAUUAAGCUUGCAGUGAAUCAAAUGCCCAUUAUACAAUUAAUAGCAUUCACACAUCAACUCUUUCUAUCCAAAGAGACUCCACAGGUGGAUCAAAGACCAGAUUCACUGCCUGAACAUUAAGGCCACUACCAAAAUUUGUGCAGCAGCAGCUUUGCAACAGAACAACACUACACAACCACCUCUGUCUUCACUCCCACUCACACGGUUCAGACAAGGACUUGGACAGUGCUAAAGCCUGAUUAAACAAUCCAGAAAUCUGUUCCAAAUCCUCAUGUACCCAGGGAAAAAAGAGAGAAGAGCUCAACUCACCCUUCCUGGACCAAAGAUUGCUUUUCUGCUCCUCGUCUCUCUCACGAAGAGCAUUUGUGUGUUCAAUAUAUUUGCUGCGUGAUGAACUGACUGCUCUGUAGGCCUGAAAGGGAAUUAUACCUGAAUUUACAGCUGCAUCCCCAUAAAUUUACCAAACACAAAGAGGGGAGAGGGAGAAAAGGGACUUUAAGCAAGUGCUACUGCCCAUCUUAAAAUGCAUAUAGAAUUCAUCCUAAGCAAGGAUUAAAAAUUAACAAUCUGCUAUACUAAUAUUUUUAAGUAUUUCAUAUUUCUCCAUUGUUAGAAAGCAAAUACAAUGCACCAUGCAGCUUUUGAAGUGCUGCAGUGUUUCAGGAAUUUAAAACAGUGUUUUAAAAGAUAAUUACAUUAAGAUUUCUAUUUUUGUAAUGUGGUAAAAAAUCUGACAGCAAGAGAAAAUGUUAUUCAUCCAGAAAUGCAAUCAUACAUGUUUGAUAUUUUGAACAAGUAGCUACUUACCAUUCAAGAGGAUUACUUUGUGGGACAGGGAAAUAUGUACCUCUCUGGGGUGUGCUAGCACUAUCUCAGAUCUUGGGGGAGAGGGGUAGAAGUAAGCUAUAAAAUGGAGGAUUUAGGGAUGUGAAGCACAGAAUCAGAUAUAUUUAAAAGCAGGGAAGAGAAUGGUUACCAAAAAGCUUAACAAAAGCAGAUGCUUACAAAACUUUAACAUGCUUUCUUGAAGUAACUAAUGCUCUUCUUUUGUGCCCAAAUUAACAAUCUUAUUUCACAUCUUAUUUCACAUCUGCCUUGCCCACUUUGAGAUAUUGCUAAUGUUUAUAUUUGUCAAAGACAAGGCAAAGGGUUAAAGACAGGUGCCUUACUCCACCUUUGGACACACUCAAUUCACAUAGUUUUAAAUAUGCUUUCCACUAAGAAUGACCCAGCACUACUUACCAAAGUAACAGUGAAACAGGCAAGCAAUAAUCUUUCAGCUUCACCAAAUUCUCUUAAGCUGAUUCCAAAGUUAGGCUGCACUUAGCUAUAUGCUACAGUAUCUACCUUCAUUGACGGUUCGCAUCUUGACCACACUCUUAAACCCAGAACACAUUGUACACCAUUCCAGCUCAGAAAGCACAAACAGCUCCAUCCCCAAACACUUACAUAAAAUAAACCACCAAAAGCAGCAACACCAGCAAGGAGAUAGAUCAUCAUGCUGUCUCUAGAAGAGCCAGGAACAUUCCCAGUUGACAUCUGGCGAGGAGGUGCUAUAAAAACCAUUAGGUAAAUUGAUGCAAAGUGCUGCUAAAAUAUGAUCACAAAAAAAGAAUGAUGGAAUCUGAAUCUGUAUGGGAAAGGAUGAUUCAAAAAGGUUAUAAAACAGAGAGGUACAGCUUAUUGAUGAAUCCUAUGACUGAGUAACACAGGGUGUGGUUCUCAAAUGAACUGUCCAUGGCUGAGCUCUUCCUAAGAGAUGUUUUUCUGCGAACUACAUUGUCCACCAUCAGCUUCCAAGUACUGGGCACAGUCUAUAAAGACCAAGGAAUGUCAAAUAAAAAAUAAAAAAAAAAAAGGAGUGUAAAAAAGUUCCUGACUAAGGCAGGUAAAAUAAUUAAUCUGUCCUUAUUCCUUAUGAUCAGCAGAAGUAAUGAAUUAUCUUUUCAGGUUAAUAAGAGGGAUUUUUUUUUUAAAAAGCUUUUUCAUUUGAAUUCAUGUUCUUUCACUCUCAGACUGUUGACACACUGAUACAUACCUUUCACCUUGUGAAUUGGCCAACAGGGCAGAGAGGUAGGAUUACAUAGUUUUUUACCUGAUAGGGUACAUACGACCUCUAACAGCAGUGCUACCCAUUUAUUUGUUAUAAACUGAUUCUUACUAGUCUUGGAUUCCAUCUGUAUAUCUCAAAAAGAGACCUAUGAAAAACACGUAAUUCUCUUGGUCAACAAAGCUUUCUUGCAGAAUUUUGUGAUCCCAGGUUGGGAAUGUCUCAUUGAAAAAGAGGUAAUGAAAAAUAAAAUGGCUGUGAGCACUGCAACUGGCAGCUGCAAAAAUAAUCGCAACAUCAAAACAUUGCCACUGCGCUCCAGAUUAUGUUUAGCAUCAUCUGUCUCAUGACACGCUUCUCAAACUGCUCUCCAAUAGCCGGGCACCCGAAUGGAUUUCCGUACAUCUAUAUUUUCGUUCAUCAGCAGCGUGUCCUUAACCCUCUCCCCCGGGGGCUGCUAGCUACAGCAGGACAGCGGUAAGUCAGCGAGCUGCCAUCGCCCAACACGGCCGGCAGAUUUUUUUUUUUUUUGCCACUGGUUACACAACCCCUGAUGCGCCAAAAGCCAUGGAUGCGGUACACUGGGGUGCCCGGGGGGGGGGGGGGGGGGGGGGGGGGGGGGGGGGGGGGGGGGGGGGGGGGGGGGGGGGGGGGGGGGGG